Molecule: transfer RNA, 71 nt
Filed under: Cordylochernes scorpioides
Lineage: Eukaryota; Metazoa; Arthropoda; Arachnida; Pseudoscorpiones; Chernetidae
Description: tRNA-Gly
Source: RNAcentral
UGCAUCGGCCGGGAAUCGAACCCGGGCCACCCGCGUGGCAGGCGAGCAUUCUACCAUUGAACCACCGAUGC